AGUGGCGCACGGGUGCGUAACACGUAUGUAACCUACCUUUGUCAGGGGGAUAGCCUCUCGAAAGAGAGAUUAAGACCGCAUAACAUUGAGAUGUGGCAUCACAAAACAAUCAAAUAUUUAUAGGACAAAGAUGGGCAUGCGGGACAUUAGCUAGUUGGCGGGGUAACGGCCCACCAAGGCGACAAUGUCUAGGGGAUCUGAGAGGAUGACCCCCCACACUGGUACUGAGACACGGACCAAACUCCUACGGGAGGCAGCAGUAAGGAAUAUUGGUCAAUGGGCGGAAGCCUGAACCAGCCAUGCCGCGUGCAGGAAGACGGCCCAACGGGUUGUAAACUGCUUUUGCAGGGGAAUAAACCUUGGUACGUGUACCAAGCUGAAUGUACUCUGAGAAUAAGGAUCGGCUAACUCCGUGCCAGCAGCCGCGGUAAUACGGAGGAUCCAAGCGUUAUCCGGAUUUAUUGGGUUUAAAGGGUGCGUAGGCGGCUUUUUAAGUCAGGGGUGAAAGACGGUAGCUUAACUAUCGCAGUGCCUUUGA
This 538-nucleotide ribosomal RNA is filed under the name uncultured bacterium. RNAcentral describes it as "bacterial SSU rRNA". It matches the Rfam family "Bacterial small subunit ribosomal RNA", at positions 94 to 630 of the family's 1533-position model. The record is from RNAcentral.